CGGAGUGUAGCGCAGCCCGGUAGCGUACUUGCAUGGGGUGCAAGGGGUCGUGGGUUCGAAUCCCGCCACUCCGAC
This 75-nucleotide transfer RNA is filed under the name Echinicola rosea. Its description in RNAcentral is "tRNA-Pro". It matches the Rfam family "tRNA". From Rfam's summary of the family: Transfer RNA (tRNA) molecules are approximately 80 nucleotides in length. Their secondary structure includes four short double-helical elements and three loops (D, anti-codon, and T loops). RNAcentral also lists the same sequence under 1 other name. Lineage: Bacteria; Pseudomonadati; Bacteroidota; Cytophagia; Cytophagales; Cyclobacteriaceae. The record is from RNAcentral.